This 4852-nucleotide long non-coding RNA is filed under the name Homo sapiens (human). RNAcentral describes it as "HSALNT0241336". The record is from RNAcentral. Lineage: Eukaryota; Metazoa; Chordata; Mammalia; Primates; Hominidae.
GAGGGAUUGGCCGGGUCUGGGUGAAGGGGAUCACGGCCUGGGGAUUGGAGGGGCACAUCUUCUCCGCACCGAGGAUCUCAGCGACUGCGAGCACGGCUCGGAGACCCACGGUGGUGCAGCGUUGGGGCGCCAGGGCUGCGUUCCCGUCUCGCGUCCCGGACUGAGAAGAAAUACUUUCAGAGCUCUUUCAUUCAUCCUGACAAUGGCCAGAGAAGGUAGGUAUUGGUAGCCUUAUUUUAGAGAUGGGGAAACUGAGGCUGAGAGUAGGUAAGUAAGCUGUCCAAGGGCACUCAGCUAACAAAGGACAGAAGCAAGCCUCCUCACUGUCUACCUCCAAAACCUACACUGGCUUGGAGUUGCUGUCCUGGCCCUCCACUGCCCAUCUCAUGUAGGACGGGAGAGUAUGGGGGGCUGGGGUCCCAUCUAUAGCCUGAAUUUGAGACUUUCAGUUGCUCCUCUCAUUCCCCAUUUAAUUUGUGGGGAUCCCCAACUGACCCCUCCCUACACUUCCAGGGCACUGAGGAGGGAGGGCCCGCUGAAGGAGCCCCGAAUUAUCUCUAGGCCAGGUCAGGAGCCAUUAGUGUCCCCUCCCCUGACAGCAUCCUCCUCCUUCUGCCCUCACAUUCAGAGCCACUGACAAGACUUUAAGCAAGAGACGGAGAGUUAACAUCUAAUCUGGAGGAAGACCCUGGAAGGAGCCAGCCCCUUCCCCCAGGCUGACCUGGUUUAAGCCUUUCUUCUGCCAAGGUCACCAGCACCCCAGAUGGGUGAGAGAUGUGAUCACUGGUUUCGUGGCCUGACCAAGGACCUCCAAGAUUCUGUGGCAGAUGAGAAAUGCCUUGGUCCUUGGGCUGCUUGCAGCCUAGCGAGGGACAGACUUUUAACCUCUCUAGGAGAGUGGCUGCUUCAAGUCAUCCUAUGGGACCAGCUGUUCAUGCUUCCUCUUGCCCAGAACUACUUCUGUGAGAGGAAAAGAGAAGGGUAGGAGCGUGCCCUGCAGCUGGAAACCCAAGCCAGGCGGGGAGCCACGAAUGCAGUAGUUAUCAGACUGUAUCUUCAAUCCUGGGGGCUUCUCAAGCCAUUGCCAGCCACUCUUCACCCAAGGCCUGGUGGAAUAAAGCUGGGCUAAGUAACACCUCUUCUGUGGAAAAUUAUUGUUUCUGCAAGCCUAUAUUCAUUCUCCCUCUCUCUCAUGCUGAUCAGAACUGUGAGUUACAAAAAAAAUGAGAAGAUGGAAUCAAUUAUUACGUAGUAAAUUUCAUUUGCUUGGCAGGAGGUAUCUUUCCCAUCUUGGCCCACAGAGGAGGAAAUCCUAGAAGGGAUGACUGAAGCUUGGGACUAACACAUUGGUGGAUCUGUGCUACCCCCUGCUGGCCGUAGACGGUAUGACAGCCAAGAUAGGGCAAGGCUUCGAGGGGCGAUGGAUGGAUUCACCGCAGCGGCGACAUUUCUGGACUGUUGUCACCUUCAGUGCAGUCACUGGGAAUAUUCAGAACCCAGACAGAGUCUCACUCUGUUGCCCAGGCGGCUGGAGUGCAGUGGUGUGAUCUCAGCUCACUGCGACCUCCGCUUCCCAGAUUCAAGCAAUUCUCCUGCCUCAGCCUCCUGAGUAGCUGGGACUACAGGUGUGUGCCACCACGUUCAGCUAAUUUUUGUAUUUUUAGUAGAGACGGGGUUUCACCAUGUUGGCCAGGCUGGUCUUGAACUCCUGACCUCAAGUGAUCCACCCGCCUUGGCCUCCCAAAGUGCUGGGAUUACAGGUGUGAGCCACCGCGCCUGGCCUCUUAACAGUUCUAAUGUAUCUUUGCAGAGCUAUUUGGAGCAUAUGCUGUGUAUAUGUGCGUGUGUGUGUGACACAAAUGAUAGCACACGCUCUACACUGUUCAGCACCUGCUAUUUUCAUGUCAUAAUAUACCUGCCUGUAGAUAGUCAACAUAGUUUUCCAUCGUAUGGUGUGUCACAAUUUAUUUACCAUUCCCCUCCUAGUGGAUAUUUAUGUAUGUCCGCCUUUUAUUACUACAAACAAUGCUAAUUACAGGAAAUAUCUUGGUACAUAUAUUUGCAGACAUAUGUGUGUGUGUGAAAUAAAUUUAUAAGUAUGGCAAUUCUGGGUCAAAGAUUAUGUGCUCUUAAAUGUUUUAUAGGUUUUCACAGAAUUGCCCUCCAAAAAUUUUGUACCAAUUUACAAUCCCCAACAACGGAUGAGAUCACCUGUUUCCCCAAAUCCUCACAAACAGGUUAAUAUCAGGCCUUUUGAUCUUAGGUGAUGACUCUUUAAAAGUCCUGCUCACAGAGCAGUUGAUGAUCUGUCUUUUUCUUUGGGCCGCGGGUUUCUCCAAGGAAGGGACUGUGUCUUUCUCAUACCUACAUCCCCAGUGAAGGACUUGACACCAUCCUUGGGAGUUACUCAAGAAGUGUCUGCUAAAUAUUGAGUGAAAGAAACAGAGCUGCAUUUUGGCAGGCUGGGAGGGAGAGGGUAAAAGGUUAGGUUUGAACAGGAGGCCUGCUUUUUUUUUUUUUUUUUGAGAUGGAGUCUCACUCUGUUGCCCAGGCUGGAGUGCAGUGGCGCGAUCUCAGCUCACUGCAACCUCCAAGGAGGACUGCUCUUUAGGGCCACUUUCUCUUCCAGACCCUGGUCAAGCCUCUGCCCCAAAUCCAAAAGCCUUCCUCUUGCAGGAGCCUCCCAGGUUGCAAGGUCUGAGGUUGAAGGCCCAGAACUCCCAGUGCAGCUUUCACCCAGCUCUGCUGCAUUCCAGGGAUGGGCCCCAUCAUCCCCAAGCUGCCUGAGAACUGGAAACAAACUAGGUGUCCAGCUUUAGGGGAUCAGUUAAACCACUGUCCUAUAGAACUUUCUGCAAUGAUGAAAAUGUUCUCUAUCUGCCCUGUCCAAUAUGGCAGCCACUGGCCACUCGUAGCUACCGAGUAUUCAAGCUGUAGCUAGUUCAACUAAGGAAAUAAAUAAAUGUUACUUAAUUUUAAUUAAUUUCCAUUUAAGUAGCCAUGUGUGGCUACAUAUUGGACAGUGAAGGGUUCAGUAAAUUAUGAUAUAGCCCCACAAUGGAAAACUAUGCAGCUGUAAAAAAAAAAAAUAAUAAGGAUGCCAAGAAAAAUGGAAAGAUCUUCAGGAUAUAUUUUGAAACAAAAAUGUGGUACAGGCUGUGUGCAGUGGCUCACGCCAAUAAUCCCAGCACUUUGGGAGGCCAAGGUGAGAGGCCGAGGCAGGAGGAUCACUUGAGUCCAGGGGUUCAAGACCAGCCUGGUCAACAUAAUGAGACUUCCGUCUCUACAGAAAGUGAAAAAAAAAAAAAAGACAGCAUGGUGGUAUAUGAAUGUAGUCCCAUCUACUCAGGAAGCUGAGGUGGGAGGAUUGCUUGAGCCAGGGAAGUUGAGGCUGCAGUAAGCUGUGAUUGUGCCACCACACUCCAGCCUGUGUGACAGAGCAAGACCCCAUCUAAAAAAAAAAAAAAAGGCCAGGCACGAUGGCUCACACAUGUAAUCCCAGCACUUUGGGAGGCCGAGGACCGUGGAUCACCUGAGGUUGGGAGCUCAAGACCAGCCUGACCAACAUAGAGAAACCUCAUCUCUACUAAAAACACAAAAUUAGCUGGGUGUGGUGGCACAUGCCUAUAAUCCCAGCUACUCAGAAGACUGAGGCAGAAGAACCACUUGAACCCAGGAGGCGGAGGUUGCGGUGAGCCAAGAUAGUGCCAUUGCACUUCAGCCUGGGUAACAAGAGCGAAACUCUGUCUCAAAAAAAAAAAUGUGGUUCAGAACAGUAUACAUAGUAUGUCAUCUUUUUUGAAAGAAAGGCAGGUAGGCCGGGCGCAGUGGCUCACACCUGUAAUCCCAGCACUUUGGGAGGCCGAGGUGGGCGGAUCACGAGGUCAGGAGAUUGAGACCAUCCUGGCUAACGCGGUGAAACCCUGUCUCUACUAAAAAUACAAAAAAUUAGCCGGGCGUAGGUGGUGCACUCCUGUAGUCCCAGCUACUCGGGAGGCUGAGGCAGGAGAAUGGCGUAAAACCCGGGAGGCUGAGCUUGCAGUGAGCCAAGAUCGCGCCACUGUACUUCAGCCUGGGAGACAGAGCGAGAUUCCGUCUCAAAAAAUAAAAAAAAAAGAAAAAGAAAGGCAGGUAGAGGAGGCUGGAUGUGGUGGCUCAUGCCUGUAAUACCAGCACUUUGGGAGGCCAAGGGGGACAGAUCACUUGCAGAAAUGUGAGACCGGCCUGGACAACAUGGUGAAACCCCAUCUCUACACAAAAUACAAAAAUUAGUUGGACGUGGUAGUGCGCACCUGUAGUCCCAGCUACUCAGGAGGCUAAAGUGGGAGGGUUGCUUGAGCUGGGGAAGUCAAGGCUGCAGUGAGCCAAGAUUGCACCACUGCACUCCAGCAGGGGUGACAGAGGGAGACAGCAGGAGUGACAGAGUGAGACCCUGUCUCAAAAAAAAAAAGAAAAGAGCUUUGCACAGUGGUAGUAUCGUAGCCAAUGAAUGAAAGGGAGGUGGAAAUAAAAAUAAAUGUUUAUAUUUGCUUGAAUUUGCAUAGGGAAAGCAAUAACAGUGGGUGACCUAUAGGGAGCUGGGGAAUCCUGUUGCGGGGGUAGGCAAGGACAGGGUGGGAACAGAGCUUUCCAGUGAAUUUCUUUAUAUUUCAUUUUGGUUGUUGAAACAUGUACAUAUAUUACCUAUUCAAAAAGUUAAAUUAAGGUCAGGUGCAGUGGCUCAUGCCCGUAAUCCCAGUACUUUGGGAGGUUGAGGUAGGAGGAUCACUUUACCCCAGGAGUUGGAGACCAGCCUGGGCAAUAUAGUGAGACCUCCUUUCUACAAAAAGUUUACAAAUUAGCCAUAAGCCAG